Molecule: long non-coding RNA, 203 nt
Filed under: Capsicum annuum
Lineage: Eukaryota; Viridiplantae; Streptophyta; Magnoliopsida; Solanales; Solanaceae
Description: long non-coding RNA (CANN_LNC021864)
Source: RNAcentral
UAAUGAUAUCCUGAAUUUUCUGUAAUUCUUCAAUUUAUUUGCUUGGUAGAGUAUAUUUUGGGGGCUCUAUUGCAGUAACAUUUAAGCCUACAACAUAGCUUUCCUGUCAUCUUGAGCCUCUGUAACAAUGCUCCUAAAAGCUUGAGAGUUCAAAUCCUUCAGCCUUUUAUUCAAUAGUUUUAAUUUCCUGGUAACUUGCUUCA